Molecule: ribosomal RNA, 2131 nt
Filed under: Escherichia coli
Lineage: Bacteria; Pseudomonadati; Pseudomonadota; Gammaproteobacteria; Enterobacterales; Enterobacteriaceae
Description: partial 23S ribosomal RNA
Rfam family: Bacterial large subunit ribosomal RNA
Source: RNAcentral
GGUUAAGCGACUAAGCGUACACGGUGGAUGCCCUGGCAGUCAGAGGCGAUGAAGGACGUGCUAAUCUGCGAUAAGCGUCGGUAAGGUGAUAUGAACCGUUAUAACCGGCGAUUUCCGAAUGGGGAAACCCAGUGUGUUUCGACACACUAUCAUUAACUGAAUCCAUAGGUUAAUGAGGCGAACCGGGGGAACUGAAACAUCUAAGUACCCCGAGGAAAAGAAAUCAACCGAGAUUCCCCCAGUAGCGGCGAGCGAACGGGGAGGAGCCCAGAGCCUGAAUCAGUGUGUGUGUUAGUGGAAGCGUCUGGAAAGGCGCGCGAUACAGGGUGACAGCCCCGUACACAAAAAUGCACAUGCUGUGAGCUCGAUGAGUAGGGCGGGACACGUGGUAUCCUGUCUGAAUAUGGGGGGACCAUCCUCCAAGGCUAAAUACUCCUGACUGACCGAUAGUGAACCAGUACCGUGAGGGAAAGGCGAAAAGAACCCCGGCGAGGGGAGUGAAAAAGAACCUGAAACCGUGUACGUACAAGCAGUGGGAGCACGCUUAGGCGUGUGACUGCGUACCUUUUGUAUAAUGGGUCAGCGACUUAUAUUCUGUAGCAAGGUUAACCGAAUAGGGGAGCCGAAGGGAAACCGAGUCUUAACUGGGCGUUAAGUUGCAGGGUAUAGACCCGAAACCCGGUGAUCUAGCCAUGGGCAGGUUGAAGGUUGGGUAACACUAACUGGAGGACCGAACCGACUAAUGUUGAAAAAUUAGCGGAUGACUUGUGGCUGGGGGUGAAAGGCCAAUCAAACCGGGAGAUAGCUGGUUCUCCCCGAAAGCUAUUUAGGUAGCGCCUCGUGAAUUCAUCUCCGGGGGUAGAGCACUGUUUCGGCAAGGGGGUCAUCCCGACUUACCAACCCGAUGCAAACUGCGAAUACCGGAGAAUGUUAUCACGGGAGACACACGGCGGGUGCUAACGUCCGUCGUGAAGAGGGAAACAACCCAGACCGCCAGCUAAGGUCCCAAAGUCAUGGUUAAGUGGGAAACGAUGUGGGAAGGCCCAGACAGCCAGGAUGUUGGCUUAGAAGCAGCCAUCAUUUAAAGAAAGCGUAAUAGCUCACUGGUCGAGUCGGCCUGCGCGGAAGAUGUAACGGGGCUAAACCAUGCACCGAAGCUGCGGCAGCGACGCUUAUGCGUUGUUGGGUAGGGGAGCGUUCUGUAAGCCUGUGAAGGUGUGCUGUGAGGCAUGCUGGAGGUAUCAGAAGUGCGAAUGCUGACAUAAGUAACGAUAAAGCGGGUGAAAAGCCCGCUCGCCGGAAGACCAAGGGUUCCUGUCCAACGUUAAUCGGGGCAGGGUGAGUCGACCCCUAAGGCGAGGCCGAAAGGCGUAGUCGAUGGGAAACAGGUUAAUAUUCCUGUACUUGGUGUUACUGCGAAGGGGGGACGGAGAAGGCUAUGUUGGCCGGGCGACGGUUGUCCCGGUUUAAGCGUGUAGGCUGGUUUUCCAGGCAAAUCCGGAAAAUCAAGGCUGAGGCGUGAUGACGAGGCACUACGGUGCUGAAGCAACAAAUGCCCUGCUUCCAGGAAAAGCCUCUAAGCAUCAGGUAACAUCAAAUCGUACCCCAAACCGACACAGGUGGUCAGGUAGAGAAUACCAAGGCGCUUGAGAGAACUCGGGUGAAGGAACUAGGCAAAAUGGUGCCGUAACUUCGGGAGAAGGCACGCUGAUAUGUAGGUGAAGCGACUUGCUCGUGGAGCUGAAAUCAGUCGAAGAUACCAGCUGGCUGCAACUGUUUAUUAAAAACACAGCACUGUGCAAACACGAAAGUGGACGUAUACGGUGUGACGCCUGCCCGGUGCCGGAAGGUUAAUUGAUGGGGUCAGCGCAAGCGAAGCUCUUGAUCGAAGCCCCGGUAAACGGCGGCCGUAACUAUAACGGUCCUAAGGUAGCGAAAUUCCUUGUCGGGUAAGUUCCGACCUGCACGAAUGGCGUAAUGAUGGCCAGGCUGUCUCCACCCGAGACUCAGUGAAAUUGAACUCGCUGUGAAGAUGCAGUGUACCCGCGGCAAGACGGAAAGACCCCGUGAACCUUUACUAUAGCUUGACACUGAACAUUGAGCCUUGAUGUGUAGGAUAGGUGGGAGGCUU